Hyaena hyaena (striped hyena) is the source of this 487-nucleotide long non-coding RNA. RefSeq lists it as uncharacterized. The record is from RefSeq and is a predicted model, not a curated record. The transcript is spliced from 3 exons. Lineage: Eukaryota; Metazoa; Chordata; Mammalia; Carnivora; Hyaenidae.
UAUGACAAGAGCUUAUUAAUACUGUAGUGCAGUCAACAUCCGUUAGUGAUAAUGAUGUCUCUUGUCUCCUUCACACAAGCCACGAAGGUUUUCAAAGGGAGGAAAAAUUAAGCACAUGAUGCGUGUUGGGGCUUCAGGACAAUACAAGGUAAUUUGGAGGCAGAGAAGAUCCACAGCCCAUCCAGGAUUGGGACUUGGCAAGGAGGUAUUCAACUGAAUGACAAUGCAACAAGGGACUCUAAGAUAUUAGAAAGAGAGCAGUGGAAGUACUGAAUUAUGGAAUUGACAACAGAUGAGUCUGGAUUAUACCUAACUGAUCAAGUUCAGGGGCAAUAUAGUCCAUCUACACCCCUCUGAUUAUAUUUCACAAUUGACUUCCUAUUUUCCCAAGUCUUCAUAUUAAUACUUGGUUAGGUAACAAUGUUACUUGUGUAUCCACUCCCAUGGCAAUAUCCACCUACUUAAUAUAUACUACAUACAACAUACU